AACAUAAUCAAUAGGAAUUUGGUUAAAUAAUUAUGACAUAUCUAUACAAUGAAGCCUUAAAGCCACUAAUUAGAAUUAUAUAGAUACAUAUUUAUAGACAUGAAAAUAUAAAUGUUUAGAUGUUGCUACGUGGAGAAAAAACCACGUGUCCUCUGAUUCUAUGUAGGGUGUGUGCGCGUGUUUGUGUGCGUGCGUGCGUGCGAAUGUGUGUGUGCAUGCGCACACAGACAGAGAAAAGUCUGAAUAGCACUAUUUUUCCAGCAAUUACUUCUCAGCUUAACUCUAAGCUUUAUAAUGCUCUGUACUUUAUGAAUUUUCAGGAACGAGCUUGUAUUAUUUUUUUAGGAGAAGAUUUACCUAAGUAAAAAUUCUCCAAGAACUAACUGGUGCUCUCUGGUUGUCCUCUUUCGUUUUAACCUUCUAGUUACAAGCUCAUUCUGAUCCAGCUUUUUUAUGACAUCUGCUAGUUGGUUCUCUACCAGUCUUCUCAGAGUUUGAGAUAUUCAGCCUCACUUUUUUAGGCUCUUUUUUAAGGCAUGCACACACAAACAACGUAUUUCAUUUGUAGUAUACCGCAGACUAUAGUCCUAUAAAUAAUAGGCCCCAAGUUGAAGGUGGUAUGAUAAAGUUCUUCCAAAUCUCCCAUCCUGUCAGAGAUUCUCUAGGCCUGACUAUAUACUCCUUUGGAGAUAAUAUCAGAAAUCAAAAUAUCCAAAAUCGAUAUUUGAGGCCUUUUGGGAGUGUGUGCCUUGAAUCGUAUGGUCCUCCUAACCCUCUUGUACAAGGUUUUCUGUCUGUCCCAUGCUGGACUGGUUCCAUACAACGGCAUACUCCACUCUAUCCAGUCUCUGCUGUCCCUCCAUUCUGGCUUUUCUAGGCUAUAACCCAAGUCUCUGGACUUAUAGCUCCCCAAAUAUAUUCUCCUUGAGAUGCUCCUCAGGGCAUCUCAACCAGUGGCUGUUACAAUGGAGAGUCUGGCCUCUACCAACCCCCAUGUGAGAAGCACCCCCAUGUGAGAAGCAUGGCUGCCAGUGGCAACAGAGUAAGGACCCAACACCAUAUCAUUGUGCUGUGGUAUCUCUGUUGCCUGAAGAGUCAAAGUUCUAGAAAUAGUGACUCAGGAGCUGUGGCAAGAUGACAAGGUCAAUGAUGGGGAGCUACAGUGCUAGAGGUGGCCCAGGGAGCACUGGACGCCUGGCCAUGCUCAGAGAAACAUGCAGAUACAACUGUGACCCAAGACUGCAGCUGCACUAACAUGGCAUCAAGCUACAAACUAAAUGCAGGAGUUAUGUCGACUUUUCUACAUAACUGAGAGGCCAUGACGGGGCCCACAUGCCACAGGCUAAGCUUCAGCAUUCUUGGCACGACAGAGUUGGAUCAUUCACAGUGAUUUUCUAGAGCAGAACCAGCUGAGCCAACCACAGUGACAUUCCUUGUUUUGCCAAAUUCUCCUGUCAGCUAGACAGGAGCAGACACUGGGAACUCAGAGUACUCAAGCAAUUACCAUGGGCAACUGAGCAAGGACCACCAUUGCAGAAGAAGAAACACAUUUAAGAUAUCCAAAGCACCUCUGCAAGCCAUGUGACCUACAGGUGACAUCAGCAAUGAACAUGACAGGCAGGUCUGGCAAGUGGUACACAGACAGGGCAAAUGCUCUGGAAAACACUCUGAGUUUGUUUACUUUUGAACAUUCUGUUCAAGGUCAUCAAUAGUCCAUGCAAGGUCUCUCCCUUAUUUUGCUUAUAAAUUAACAUAAUAAAUUACAUUAUUAAAUGAUUAUUACAUAAAUUAAUUUUCAUUUAUUCCCACCACCACUCUCAUGCUUCUUUCACCAUAAACAAUCAUUUUGAGGUGUUUAGUGUGGAUAUUUUUAUUUGCAGGUAUUUUUUUCCUUAACAUUUUUUUUUUCUUUUUAGGGCUGCACCUGCAGCAGCAAAUGGAAGUUCCCAGGCUCGGGAUCAAAUCAGAGCUGCAGCUGCCGGCCUCCACCACAGCGACCUAUGCCGCAGCUUGCAGCAGCACCAUUGAGUGAGGCCAGGGAUCAAACCUGCAUCCUCAUGGAUAUUGGGUUCUUAACUAGCUGAGCCACAGCAGGAAUUCCCAUGGGUUUUUUUUGCCUUUUUUUUUUUUUUUUAGCAAAAAUGCGUAGUAUUUUGUAUUCAUGGAUUUUUAAAUUACAUAAAUGUGUGUUAAGCAUCUCAUUCUGUUUUUACCUUUUCCACUAAACAUUAGCACGGCUAUAUGUUGCAUGAUUCCAUAUUGCUCUAUGUGUAUCUAAUCCGUUAUUCCUAACUGCCACCUCCUGUCCAAUCAUGUGCCCCCAGAACAUUUUACCCACUGCUUUCCCAGUGAUAGGCAGACAGAAGUAAUACUGCAGUCAGCACUAUUGCAAAUGUCCUCUCGUGGACCUAGGUGAGAAUAUCCCUGGGAUAUAUAUCCAGGAGCUAUACUGUUGGAACACUGGAUGUGUAUAUACUUGCUCUGACUAAAUUCUGCAAGACUGCUUACCAGAGUGGUUGCACCAAUCUCUGUUUGCAGUAACACUGUGUAAAAAUUCCUCUGCCUCCACUUCCACAUGGCAGGAACCUUUAAAGAGGUAGGUCACCAUGUGGAGCCCUUCGCUUUUACAUUAUGGACUUUUUACAUCUUGCUUCCAGGCUGGAUGCCUGAGCACAGCUCUAAAGGAACUCCUGGGAGUCAAUACUGAGAAUGCCCGAUGCUGGGGCUCCGUGGAAGAAAGAUGGUGUAAUGUGUCUCACUGCUAUUCAUUCAUUUAUUGAGCACCUGCUGAGUGCAAAGCUCCAAGCUAAUAGAAAAAAAUCUCAUGUGGUCUAUGCCUUUUUUUGGAUUCAGAAAUUAGUGCGAAAGAAUGACCUUAGUUCAAAUUCCUGCAAGUAAAUGGCAACAAGCACACGCAGUCUUUGGAGUUCCCAUCAUGGCUCAGUGGUUAAUGAAUCUGACUAGGAACCAUGAGGUUGCGGGUUUGAUCCCUGGCCUUGCUCAGUGGGUUAGGGAUCCAGUGUUGCCAUGAGCUGUGGUGCAGUUUGCAGACUUGGCUUGGAUUCCAUGUUGCUGUGGCUCUGGCGUAGGCCGGCGGCUACAACUCCGAUUCGACCCCUAGCCUGGGAACCUCCAUAUGCCGUGGGUGCAACC
Molecule: long non-coding RNA, 3153 nt
Filed under: Sus scrofa (pig)
Lineage: Eukaryota; Metazoa; Chordata; Mammalia; Artiodactyla; Suidae
Description: lncRNA (ENSSSCG00000055806.1)
Source: RNAcentral